RNAcentral lists this ribosomal RNA (1707 nucleotides) under Salmonella enterica subsp. enterica serovar Anatum. Its description in RNAcentral is "bacterial LSU rRNA". It matches the Rfam family "Bacterial large subunit ribosomal RNA", at positions 1252 to 2925 of the family's 2925-position model. Lineage: Bacteria; Pseudomonadati; Pseudomonadota; Gammaproteobacteria; Enterobacterales; Enterobacteriaceae. The record is from RNAcentral.
GAAGGUGGCCUGUGAGGGUUGCUGGAGGUAUCAGAAGUGCGAAUGCUGACAUAAGUAACGAUAAAGCGGGUGAAAAGCCCGCUCGCCGGAAGACCAAGGGUUCCUGUCCAACGUUAAUCGGGGCAGGGUGAGUCGACCCCUAAGGCGAGGCCGAAAGGCGUAGUCGAUGGGAAACGGGUUAAUAUUCCCGUACUUGGUGUUACUGCGAAGGGGGGACGGAGAAGGCUAUGUUGGCCGGGCGACGGUUGUCCCGGUUUAAGCGUGUAGGUGUGUGUUCCAGGUAAAUCCGGUUCACUUUAACACUGAGGCGUGAUGACGAGGCACUACGGUGCUGAAGCAACAAAUGCCCUGCUUCCAGGAAAAGCCUCUAAGCAUCAGGUAACAUCAAAUCGUACCCCAAACCGACACAGGUGGUCAGGUAGAGAAUACCAAGGCGCUUGAGAGAACUCGGGUGAAGGAACUAGGCAAAAUGGUGCCGUAACUUCGGGAGAAGGCACGCUGACACGUAGGUGAAGUGAUUUACUCAUGGAGCUGAAGUCAGUCGAAGAUACCAGCUGGCUGCAACUGUUUAUUAAAAACACAGCACUGUGCAAACACGAAAGUGGACGUAUACGGUGUGACGCCUGCCCGGUGCCGGAAGGUUAAUUGAUGGGGUCAGCGCAAGCGAAGCUCCUGAUCGAAGCCCCGGUAAACGGCGGCCGUAACUAUAACGGUCCUAAGGUAGCGAAAUUCCUUGUCGGGUAAGUUCCGACCUGCACGAAUGGCGUAAUGAUGGCCAGGCUGUCUCCACCCGAGACUCAGUGAAAUUGAACUCGCUGUGAAGAUGCAGUGUACCCGCGGCAAGACGGAAAGACCCCGUGAACCUUUACUAUAGCUUGACACUGAACAUUGAGCCUUGAUGUGUAGGAUAGGUGGGAGGCUUUGAAGUGUGGACGCCAGUCUGCAUGGAGCCGACCUUGAAAUACCACCCUUUAAUGUUUGAUGUUCUAACGUGGACCCGUGAUCCGGGUUGCGGACAGUGUCUGGUGGGUAGUUUGACUGGGGCGGUCUCCUCCUAAAGAGUAACGGAGGAGCACGAAGGUUGGCUAAUCCUGGUCGGACAUCAGGAGGUUAGUGCAAUGGCAUAAGCCAGCUUGACUGCGAGCGUGACGGCGCGAGCAGGUGCGAAAGCAGGUCAUAGUGAUCCGGUGGUUCUGAAUGGAAGGGCCAUCGCUCAACGGAUAAAAGGUACUCCGGGGAUAACAGGCUGAUACCGCCCAAGAGUUCAUAUCGACGGCGGUGUUUGGCACCUCGAUGUCGGCUCAUCACAUCCUGGGGCUGAAGUAGGUCCCAAGGGUAUGGCUGUUCGCCAUUUAAAGUGGUACGCGAGCUGGGUUUAGAACGUCGUGAGACAGUUCGGUCCCUAUCUGCCGUGGGCGCUGGAGAACUGAGGGGGGCUGCUCCUAGUACGAGAGGACCGGAGUGGACGCAUCACUGGUGUUCGGGUUGUCAUGCCAAUGGCACUGCCCGGUAGCUAAAUGCGGAAGAGAUAAGUGCUGAAAGCAUCUAAGCACGAAACUUGCCCCGAGAUGAGUUCUCCCUGAGACUUAGAGUCUCCUGAAGGAACGUUGAAGACGACGACGUUGAUAGGCCGGGUGUGUAAGCGCAGCGAUGCGUUGAGCUAACCGGUACUAAUGAACCGUGAGGCUUAACCUUACAACGCCGAAG